UUAUUUGUUUACCUAGUUGACACGCAUCACAUACUUUGUCCUUAACAAACUUCAUAUUGGGAAUCCCUCGUACUAAUUCUCUAGAUGAGAUCUUAGAUAUUAGUUUCAUACUUGCAUGGCCUAAUCUCCUAUGCCAAAGCCAAGCAUCAUCAUUUAAAGCGAAGAAGCACAUUUCAUUACUUAGUUCAUUAAGGUUGAUGGUGUAGACAUUAUUUUGUUUUAAAGCAAUCAUUGACAAGUUAUUGUUUGGUUUUCAAUAAUGCACGCAUUAGAUUCAAAUAUAACGAUGUAACCUUUAUCGCAUAAUUGACUAAUACUUAAGAGAUUAUGUUUUAAUCCAUCAACUAGCAAUACAUCAUCAAUUGAAAAACAUGAUUUGUUACCUAUGGUUCCCUUGCCAAUGAUUUUGUCUUUGUUGUUGUUUCCGAAGGUGAGGUACCCUUCUUCUUUGCUAGUGAGCAUAGAGAAAUGAGAUGGAUCUUCGGAUUUUCAAAGAUAGUUUCCAAGGCUUCGGAGUAAGUUGCUCCGAUUACAUUGACAUCCCAUUUAUUUCUAAAGUAACAACCCCUAUCAUUUUCAGUAAUUCCAAUUAGUUUACAAAUAGUACUAUUAAAGAUUUUAAUUUGUGUUCCUAAAAGGUAAGUACUUAGGCUUUCAUUGUUUAUACAUAAGUUUGCAUAAAAUAGCCUAACUAACCUAAGAUAAAUUGGUUCAUUGAUUUGUAGGAGAGGUAAACCAUCUAAUGGGUUCUAGAUUUCCUAGUUAAUCUAGAUCAACAUGUUUACCCUUAUGUAUAGUUAUUGUUUCAAAAUUUGGAAACCUAAGAGCUACUUCUUUGGAUCUAAAUUGAUUUUGGUCAUAUGAAUCUCCUUCAGCCCUUUUCCCUUUUGUUCUUGUUGAUCUCUUAGGAGCCAUAAUCUAGAAAAGAUAAUAGAUCAAGAAUAUAAAACUAUGAAGAGUAGGCAAAAUAAUGAGAAAAGAAAGGAAAUAUUUCAGAUUUUACCUUAUGCAGAAUUCCUCGAAAGAUGGAGAGCUUGAACCAACAAGAAUCCCUCUCCUAGGCUUCUAAAGGUUGUAAUGAGGGUUAGAGAAGUUUUGAAGGAGUUGUGGGAGAUUUAGGGAGAGUUCUCACGGGUUGGGGGCGGUUCCACUGCCGGCCCUAACCCCUUUUCUUAUGAAGGAGAUCUCGGGCGGUGCCACCGUCGAUCCGAGCGGUGCCACCGCCUAGCGACCAAGCGCUUAGGUGGUGCUACCGCCGGUUCUAGCGGUGCCACCACUGGCAUGCCAAGAAAGAGAAAGAAAAAAUUUAUUUCCUCCCCCUUUUUAUUUUUCAGAGGUGUUUGGCUCAAGAUAGGAUAGGAUCUUGGAUUGCACUUUAAUAUGUCAUUUGGAAUCGAAAGAGAAGGAAGAAAUCAAAUCCACGAAAGAAUGGAAAGAGGAUGAAAAACUUUUCGGAAAAUACAUUCAAACAAGCUUAUUCUCAGGGACAAUUUAACAUGUCUAGUUCCCUUCUAAUGAAUUCAAAUUGGUCUUCAUUUAAGGCUUUUGUAAAAAUGUCUGCUAAUUGAUGCUUUGUGUCAAUAAACUCUAGAACAACAUUAUUGUUAAGGACAUGAUCGCAUAUGAAAUGAUGCCUAACGUCAAUAUGCUUAGUUCUAGAGUGUUGAAUUGGAUUUUUGGUAAGACGUAUGACACUUAUAUUAUCACAUUUUAUGGGAAUGUUUUUCAAGUAAAUUCCAUAGUCUUCUAAUGUAUUCUUCAUCCAAACAACUUGUGCAAAGCAAGCACUUGCAGCAAUGUAUUCGGCUUCCGCUAUAGAUAGUGCAACUGAGUUUUAUUUCUUAGAAGUCCAAGAAACAAGUGCAUAUUCUAAAAAUUGGCAUGUUCUGGAUGUACUUUUUCUAUCUAUCCUGUAUCUACCAAAAUCGGCAUCUGCAUAAGCUAUUAAAUCAAAUUUAUCAGAUUUCGGAUAUCACAAUCCUAAAUUGGGAGUUCUUUUAAGAUAUCUAAAUAUUCUUUUAACACUCUUAAGAUGAGAUAAUUUAGGAUUAGAUUGAAACCUAGUGCAAAGUCCUACACUAAACAUGAUAUCCGAUCUAUCGCGGUGAGAUAAAGUAGACUACCUAUCAUUCCCCUAUACGUUUUUUGAUCGAAAUUCUCACCAUUUUUAUCCAUAUCUAACUUCGUCGAAGUACUCAUAAGAGUGUUUAUCACUUUUGAACCAUCCAUGUUAAAUCGUUUUAAUAAUUCUAAUGUAUAUUUUGAUUGAUUAAGAAAUAUACCAUCACUAAGUUAUUUAAUUUGUAAUCCUAAAAAGAAAGUUAAUUCACCAAUUAGACUCAUUUCAAAUUCAUGACUCAUACACUUGGCAAAUGAUUCACAUAGUGAUUCAUCCGAAGAACCAAAAAUAAUAUCAUCAAUAUAAAUUUGCAUAAUAAGAAAAUUAUUUUCAAAGUGUUUGAUAAACAAUGUAAUAUCAACCUUGCCUUUGGUAAAAUUAUUUAAAAUAAGAAAGGAACUAAGCCUUUCAUACUACGCUCUAGGAGCUUGUUUCAAGCCAUAGAGAGCCUUAGUCAAUUUGAAUACAUGAUUAGGAAGAAGAGAAAUUUUAAAUCCGGGAGGUUAUUCGACAUAUACUUCUUCGAAAAUAAAACCAUUCUAGAAGGCACUUUUGACAUCCAUUUGAAAUAGUUUAAAAUUAUUACUACUAGCAUAGGCAAGGAGCAUCCUAAUGGCUUCUAAUCUUGCCACAGGAGCGAAGGUUUCUUCGUAGUCGAUACCUUCUUCUUGGUUGAAACCUUUGGUCACUAAUCUAGCCUUAUUUCUAACCACGAUACCGCAUUCGUCUUGCUUGUUUCUAAAGACACAUUUAGUACCAAUGACUAAAUGAUCACUAAGUUUAGGAACAAGCUUCCAUACCUUAUUUCUCUCAAAUUGGUUCAAUUCCUUUGCAUUGCAAUGACCCAAGAAUCAUCUUUUAAGGUCUCGUCAAUGCAUUUAGGUUCGAUUUGAGAAAGGAAGGCAGCAUUAGCACAAAAAUUCUUGAAGGAAGAACGAGUUUGAACCCCUUUUGAUGUAUCUCCUAGAAUUAGCUCCUUUGGAUGAGCAUCCACAUACUUCCAUUCCUUAGGUAAGGAAGAAGAUGCAUCGAAGUUGCUAUUUUGAGGAGGGGGUUCAUUUAAAUUCAAAUUUUCAAAACCAAUAUCAUCAUCAAAAUCAUUUUUAUUUAACACGAAACUUUCACUAAAAACUACAUGAAUAUACUCUUCUAUAACUAAGGUUCUUUUGUUAAAAACACAAAAAGCCUUAGAAACGGAAGAGUAACAAAGAAAGAUGCCUUCAUCGGAUUUGGCAUCAAAUUUUCCUAAAACAACAUUUUCAUUCAAAAUAAAGCAUUUGCAACCGAAAACUUUAAAAUAAGAAACAUUUGGUUUUUUGUUAUUCCAUAAUUUCUAGGGAGUUUUUUAUAGAAAUGGUCUUAUUAGGACCCUAUUUAUGAUGUAGCAAGCCGUAUUCACGGCUUCGGCCUAAAAAUACUUGGGUAGACUAUGUUCAUUCAACAUAGUUCUUGCCAUUUUUUUGUAGGUUUCUAUUUUUUCUUUCAACUACUCUAUUUUGUUAAGGAUUUCUUGGAGUGGAGAAGUUGUGGUUAUAUCCAUUAACUUCACAAAAACUUUGGAAGUCACGGUUUUAAAAUUCGCCACCGUGAUCACUCCGAAUUGAUGAAAUCAUGAAGCUUUUUUCGUUUUGAGUGAGUUUACAAAAUUUAGAGAAACAUUUGAAACAAUCACUUUUGUGAGCCAAGAAAUAGGUCCAAGUGUAUCUAGUAUAGUCAUUUACAAUUACAAAAGUAUAAUUGCUUCCUCCUAUACUUGUCAUGUCAAUUGGUCUAAAUAAGUCCAAAUAGAUCAUUUAUAAUGGUCUAGUGGUGCUAAUUUAAUUUUUUGGUUUGAAACUAGUUUUUAUUUGUUUACCUAGUUGACACGCAUCAUAUACUUUGUCCUUAACAAACUUCAUAUUGGGAAUCCCUCGUACUAAUUCUCUAGAUGAGAUCUUAGAUAUUAGUUUCAUACUUGCAUGGCCUAAUCUCCUAUGCUUUGCCAAGCAUCAUCAUUUAAAGCGAAGAAGCACAUUUCAUUACUUAGUUUAUCAAGGUUGAUGGUGUAGAC
Molecule: long non-coding RNA, 4169 nt
Filed under: Musa acuminata (dwarf banana)
Lineage: Eukaryota; Viridiplantae; Streptophyta; Magnoliopsida; Zingiberales; Musaceae
Description: long non-coding RNA (MACU_LNC004655)
Source: RNAcentral